UACGAGGGGGGCGAGCGUUGUUCGGAAUUAUUGGGCGUAAAGGGUGCGUAGGCGGUUCCGCAAGUCCUGUGUGAAAUCUUCGGGCUCAACUCGGAGUCUGCACGGGAAACUGCGGGGCUUGAGUGUGGGAGAGGUGAGUGGAAUUCCCGGUGUAGCGGUGAAAUUCGUAGAUAUCGGGAGGAACACCAGUGGCGAAGGCGGCGACCUGGGCAGAUACUGACACUGAGGUGCGAAAGCGUGGGGAGCAAACAGG
RNAcentral lists this ribosomal RNA (253 nucleotides) under uncultured bacterium. RNAcentral's name for it is "partial 16S ribosomal RNA". It matches the Rfam family "Bacterial small subunit ribosomal RNA", at positions 524 to 776 of the family's 1533-position model. The record is from RNAcentral.